RNAcentral lists this ribosomal RNA (492 nucleotides) under uncultured bacterium. RNAcentral describes it as "partial 16S ribosomal RNA". It matches the Rfam family "Bacterial small subunit ribosomal RNA", at positions 30 to 507 of the family's 1533-position model. The record is from RNAcentral.
AUUGAACGCUGGCGGCAUGCCUUACACAUGCAAGUCGAACGGUAACACGCCUUCGGUUGCCUCCUAGUGGCGAACGGGUGAGUAAUGCUUCGGAACGUACCCAGAGCUUGUGGAUAACGCAGCAAAACGUGUGCUAAUACCUCAUAUUAGCUGAUAAUAAAAACGGGUGACCGAACUGCAAUUUUUGGCCUCGCGCCUUUGGAUGAGCCGAUGUCGCAUUAGCUAGUUGGUGUGGUAAAGGCCUACCAAGGCGACGAUCCGUAGCUGGUCUGAGAGGACGAUCAGCCACACUUGAACUUAGACACGGUCCAGACUCCUACGGGGAGCAGCAGGAGGGAAUCUUCCGCAAUUGGCGAAAGCCUGACGGAGCAACGCCGCGGUGGGGAAGAAGGGCUUCGGGUCGUAAAACUCUGUUAUGAGGGAAGGAAAAGUGGUUAAGUAACUAUGCACGUCAUGACGGUACCUAACCAAAAAGCCACGGCUAACUUCGUG